GACGAACGCUGGCGGCGUGCCUAAUACAUGCAAGUUGAGCGCUGAAGGUUGGUACUUGUACCGACUGGAUGAGCAGCGAACGGGUGAGUAACGCGUGGGGAAUCUGCCUUUGAGCGGGGGACAACAUUUGGAAACGAAUGCUAAUACCGCAUAAAAACUUUAAACACAAGUUUUAAGUUUGAAAGAUGCAAUUGCAUCACUCAAAGAUGAUCCCGCGUUGUAUUAGCUAGUUGGUGAGGUAAAGGCUCACCAAGGCGAUGAUACAUAGCCGACCUGAGAGGGUGAUCGGCCACAUUGGGACUGAGACACGGCCCAAACUCCUACGGGAGGCAGCAGUAGGGAAUCUUCGGCAAUGGACGAAAGUCUGACCGAGCAACGCCGCGUGAGUGAAGAAGGUUUUCGGAUCGUAAAACUCUGUUGGUAGAGAAGAACGUUGGUGAGAGUGGAAAGCUCAUCAAGUGACGGUAACUACCCAGAAAGGGACGGCUAACUAC
RNAcentral lists this ribosomal RNA (494 nucleotides) under uncultured bacterium. RNAcentral's name for it is "partial 16S ribosomal RNA". It matches the Rfam family "Bacterial small subunit ribosomal RNA", at positions 28 to 504 of the family's 1533-position model. The record is from RNAcentral.